Molecule: transfer RNA, 73 nt
Filed under: Nippostrongylus brasiliensis
Lineage: Eukaryota; Metazoa; Nematoda; Chromadorea; Rhabditida; Heligmosomidae
Rfam family: tRNA
About the family: Transfer RNA (tRNA) molecules are approximately 80 nucleotides in length. Their secondary structure includes four short double-helical elements and three loops (D, anti-codon, and T loops). Further hydrogen bonds mediate the characteristic L-shaped molecular structure. tRNAs have two regions of fundamental functional importance: the anti-codon, which is responsible for specific mRNA codon recognition, and the 3' end, to which the tRNAs corresponding amino acid is attached (by aminoacyl-tRNA synthetases). tRNAs cope with the degeneracy of the genetic code in two manners: having more than one tRNA (with a specific anti-codon) for a particular amino acid; and 'wobble' base-pairing, i.e. permitting non-standard base-pairing at the 3rd anti-codon position.
Source: Rfam by way of RNAcentral
AGCCCUGUGACCUAAUGGUUAAGGCGUCGGUCUCCUAGAGCGAAGAUUCAAGGUUCGAGUCCUUGCUGGGUCG